Tribolium madens (black flour beetle) is the source of this 3353-nucleotide long non-coding RNA. RefSeq lists it as uncharacterized. The record is from RefSeq and is a predicted model, not a curated record. NCBI's taxonomy places the organism in Eukaryota, Metazoa, Arthropoda, Insecta, Coleoptera, Tenebrionidae. The transcript has 2 exons.
UGAAGCUAAACAUACAGUGUUGCCAGUUGUGAUACUAGAGUACCAAAUUGAUACCCGAUUUUUUUUACUAGAUAUUUAUAUUUACUUGCAAACAAAUAAUAAUUUAUAUUCUCAGGCAAAUACACAUUAUGUGAAUGUUAAUAUAUUUUAUUUUGUUUUGUUUUGGUACGACCUAUCCACUCCUGUCGUUUGCAACAUUCUGGCAACGCUGUACACAUAUUUUUGAAGUACACAGAAAGUGAGGUUAGAACAGAUUAAAUUACAGAAAUGUUGACUACAAUUGUUAAAACCAUUACGAAACGACACACAUUUUUCAUAGCAACUAUUUCCUUAGAAACAAUCUCCCUACACGUCCAGGAUUCAAGAAAUAAACUUUUAUUUGUUUAGCUUCAAAGGUACAGUCACGUACCUUGCUGACGUCACACUAAUAGAGCGUAUUGUCUUUGUUAUUGCGAAAUUAGUAUUUGUUAAGUUUCAAUAAAUUUAAAAAUUACAUGAAAAUUACCAACAUUAAUUGACAAUGAAAUACAAAAUGUCAUAUCUAAAUACAGGUCUCCCACUAGAACUGGCACUGAAAGCACGCCCUUUCCUAUCUUCGAUCACAUCACGAUACAUGGCGCAGUCAGUAAUCUAAAUUAAAUCGCAGUCAGUAAAUUAAACUAAAUUAAAUUAAAAUGGGUGACAAUCGAGGAAUAGCUCCAAUGAGUACCACAGGAAACAACGCGGAAAAUUGGAGACUGUGGAAAGCAAGAUUUGAAAAUUAUCUAAUAGCAAGUGAAGUUUCCAAAAAAGACCAGGCAACACAGUGCGCUCAACUUCUUCAUUACAUCGGAGAGGAAGGAUUCAAAAUUUACACGACCUUCAUGUUCGAAGAAGAAGAAAAAAAUCAACUGCAGCCACUGUUGGAGAAAUUUGAAGCUCAUUUUUUGCCUAAGGAAAACCUGUCGUACGAACGUUAUAAAUUCUUCGCGUACAGACAACAACCACAGCAAAGCUUAGAACAAUUUAUCACGGAAUUGAAAAGCAGGGCGAUAUAUAUAUAUAGAUUCUCAAUUUGCAUUAGUACAGUAUAAUUACCCAGCUGCAAAACUCACAACCAUCUUUAUAAACUGUUAAUUUUGCUUAACCACUGAAUUACACUGUUCGAUAACAAGUGGAUUCUUGUAAAGCCGCCUUCUAAUUUAGUCAAUCGGCAGGGCGAUGAAAUGCAAGUUAGGAGACCUAAAGGAAGAACUCAUCAAAUCCAUGAUAAUAUGUGGGGUUAACAAUCCAAACGCCAACUUGAUGAGAGAAAAAUUGCUACAGCAUGACACAUUAAGUCUAGACAAAGCAAUAGAAUUAUGCACAAUUAUAGAAACCUCUAAAGAAAGAAGUGGAGCAAUCGAGGCGAGGGAGUCCGAAAGAAGUGUUGGAAUGGAAAUUGAAGAGGUUCGUGCCAAAAAGACGAGAAAACCUGCACCGACAGUUAUAACGACAACGUCAGCGAACGCCGUCGGUGGUAACGUAAAUAAAAUGAUUAAUAAUUGUAAAAAGUGUGGUACAAAUCAUGCUAUAAAUAAAUGUCCGGCAUUUGGUAAAAUCUGUAAUUGGUGUAAAAAAAGAAAUCAUUUUCAGUCAGUUUGUAAAAAUAAAAAUAGUGUCCAUGAAGUUAACGAGUCCGCAAUUAAAAAUAAUUUCUUUGUUGGUUCAAUAAAGUUAGGCGAAAUACGGCAGAAACAGGAACAAUGGUUCACAGAAUUGAUAAUAAAAAAUAAGUUUAUUAAAUUUAAAAAAGACUUAAAAGAAUUAGAAAUAAAUGCUAAAGUAUAUAUGUUCAAACAAAGCCAAAUGACGUAUGGAUUCCUGGAAUAAUUUUAGAAAAAUUCAGAAACAGAUGUUACAAGGUAAAAACAAAGAAUAAUUCAAUUCUAGUAAGAAAUAGAAAAUUUAUAAAACCGUUAAGCAAUUCUUUGUUUUCACCUCGAGAUAGUGUUGUUCGAAGUGAGAAAUACACGGAACAACCACUUGGGAAAUGUUACAUAGAAAUAGACGAUAAUAACACAGAUAAGGACAUACAUAACGAUGUCGUCAACAAUGAAAGGGAAGAAGAGAGAAUAGACAAUCCACGUGAUAGUGACAGUGAAAAUAGUGAAACAAGUGACAGUGAAACAACUGAAUCGAGUGAGUACGAAACAACAUCAGAAACAGAAAACAGAGAAAAUGUUGUUUCGUCAUUUGGUCGGCCAAUCAAGCGACCUAAAAGAUUAAGUUUAUAAUUCUUGUAGUUAAUAAUUAUUGUAAAAAAGGGGGAUGUACAGUUGGUUGCCUAUAUUGUAUUAGCUUGUAAAUAAAGUCAGUCUCCCACUAGAACUGGUAGUGCAAGCACGCCCUUUCCCAUCCUCGAUCACAUCACGUUACAACAGGUGUUUCACAGAACUCGCGCCCCAUAAAAAUGUACUCACAACGAAGCACUUUGCCAACAAUUCCAUCCAUGCAAGACUUAGGAUUACCUGAAAACACACUAGAAGAAAAUCUUUUGCGACUAGUGCCACUUAUCUUUGCUGAUUUUAUCGAAAAUAUUGGAAGAAACACAAGCGCAAAGGACGACAAUCGAGAAAUUGACGAAGCAGUUGCCCUUUUAAAUCGUGACCAAGUGGUAGCAUAUAAUGCAAUAGUAGCUGCUUUACAAGAGUACGAGUACAUUCAAACGGGUAUAACGUAUCUUUAUAACAUGUGACAAGAGAACGACCUACAUCGCUAUGGCGUGGCCUGGAAUGGCAGCAACAUUUCUAAACCGAUAUCUACGAUGCUUAAUGGAUAAGAAUUGAUAAGAAUUUUGGGGGCAAAAUUUUUGUGUUUGCCAUGUGCCAUUUCAAUAUAUUCAUGACUUUUAAAUUGUAAUGUUGUAUGCUUACUUAUCGAUUAUAGUAUUUGAUUUCUGUGUAAAAGACGAAUCUGUGUAGCAAGUAGAUCCUAAUGACAUGUUUAGAGCUAAAAUUCUUCAACAUUGCAAACGAAAAUCGCUGUAAUGCGACAUGCGAUAGAUGGACGAAAAAUUUUGAGGCGAUGGUAUAAAAGUUUCACUUUAAAACAUGAAAACUGACAGAAUGGCGAUUGAAAUGGUACAACGUAUAAUAAUCUUAAUCUAUCCUAAAUACUAUGUGUUUAAUCUAUCCUAAAUACUCAACGUGUCUUUACCUGUAAAAUAUGCUGUGCGGUGUAGGUAGUAUGUGUGUUGUGCAGAAUUGUGAAAAAAGUUGUUGACUGUCACACCUGCUGAUUUAGUUAUGUACCUGUGUUAUUCUCACCUGAGGAUGACCACUUUGUGGUUGAAACGCGUUAUGUUUAAAUAAAAGUUUGGUGUGACGGGCUAA